CCUACGGGGGGCAGCAGUCGAGAAUCAUUCACAAUGGGGGAAACCCUGAUGGUGCGACGCCGCGUGGGGGAAUGAAGGUCUUCGGAUUGUAAACCCCUGUCAUGUGGGAGCAAAUUAAAAAGAUAGUACCACAAGAGGAAGAGACGGCUAACUCUGUGCCAGCAGCCGCGGUAAUACAGAGGUCUCAAGCGUUGUUCGGAAUCACUGGGCGUAAAGCGUGCGUAGGCUGUUUCGUAAGUCGUGUGUGAAAGGCGCGGGCUCAACCCGCGGACGGCACAUGAUACUGCGAGACGAGAGGAAUGGAGGGGGAACCGGAAUUCUCGGUGUAGCAGUGAAAUGCGUAGAUAUCGAGAGGAACACUCGUGGCGAAGGCGGGUUCCUGGACAUUAACUGACGCUGAGGCACGAAGGCCAGGGGAGCGAAAGGGAUUAGAUACCCUUGUAGUC
This 446-nucleotide ribosomal RNA is filed under the name uncultured bacterium. RNAcentral's name for it is "partial 16S ribosomal RNA". It matches the Rfam family "Bacterial small subunit ribosomal RNA", at positions 338 to 795 of the family's 1533-position model. The record is from RNAcentral.